CAAGUCGAGCGGAGAUGAGGUGCUUGCACCUUAUCUUAGCGGCGGACGGGUGAGUAAUGCUUAGGAAUCUGCCUAUUAGUGGGGGACAACAUUCCGAAAGGAAUGCUAAUACCGCAUACGUCCUACGGGAGAAAGCAGGGGAUCUUCGGACCUUGCGCUAAUAGAUGAGCCUAAGUCGGAUUAGCUAGUUGGUGGGGUAAAGGCCUACCAAGGCGACGAUCUGUAGCGGGUCUGAGAGGAUGAUCCGCCACACUGGGACUGAGACACGGCCCAGACUCCUACGGGAGGCAGCAGUGGGGAAUAUUGGACAAUGGGGGGAACCCUGAUCCAGCCAUGCCGCGUGUGUGAAGAAGGCCUUAUGGUUGUAAAGCACUUUAAGCGAGGAGGAGGCUACUGAGACUAAUACUCUUGGAUAGUGGACGUUACUCGCAGAAUAAGCACCGGCUAACUCUGUGCCAGCAGCCGCGGUAAUACAGAGGGUGCGAGCGUUAAUCGGAUUUACUGGGCGUAAAGCGUGCGUAGGCGGCUUUUUAAGUCGGAUGUGAAAUCCCCGAGCUUAACUUGGGAAUUGCAUUCGAUACUGGGAAGCUAGAGUAUGGGAGAGGAUGGUAGAAUUCCAGGUGUAGCGGUGAAAUGCGUAGAGAUCUGGAGGAAUACCGAUGGCGAAGGCAGCCAUCUGGCCUAAUACUGACGCUGAGGUACGAAAGCAUGGGGAGCAAACAGGAUUAGAUACCCUGGUAGUCCAUGCCGUAAACGAUGUCUACUAGCCGUUGGGGCCUUUGAGGCUUUAGUGGCGCAGCUAACGCGAUAAGUAGACCGCCUGGGGAGUACGGUCGCAAGACUAAAACUCAAAUGAAUUGACGG
RNAcentral lists this ribosomal RNA (864 nucleotides) under uncultured bacterium. Its description in RNAcentral is "bacterial SSU rRNA". It matches the Rfam family "Bacterial small subunit ribosomal RNA", at positions 58 to 916 of the family's 1533-position model. The record is from RNAcentral.